Molecule: ribosomal RNA, 678 nt
Filed under: uncultured Pseudomonadota bacterium
Lineage: Bacteria; Pseudomonadati; Pseudomonadota
Description: bacterial SSU rRNA
Rfam family: Bacterial small subunit ribosomal RNA
Source: RNAcentral
CACAUGCAAGUCGAACGGUAACAGGAAGAAGCUUGCUUCUUUGCUGACGAGUGGCGGACGGGUGAGUAAUGUCUGGGAAACUGCCUGAUGGAGGGGGAUAACUACUGGAAACGGUAGCUAAUACCGCAUAACGUCGCAAGACCAAAGAGGGGGACCUUCGGGCCUCUUGCCAUCGGAUGUGCCCAGAUGGGAUUAGCUAGUAGGUGGGGUAACGGCUCACCUAGGCGACGAUCCCUAGCUGGUCUGAGAGGAUGACCAGCCACACUGGAACUGAGACACGGUCCAGACUCCUACGGGAGGCAGCAGUGGGGAAUAUUGCACAAUGGGCGCAAGCCUGAUGCAGCCAUGCCGCGUGUAUGAAGAAGGCCUUCGGGUUGUAAAGUACUUUCAGCGGGGAGGAAGGGAGUAAAGUUAAUACCUUUGCUCAUUGACGUUACCCGCAGAAGAAGCACCGGCUAACUCCGUGCCAGCAGCCGCGGUAAUACGGAGGGUGCAAGCGUUAAUCGGAAUUACUGGGCGUAAAGCGCACGCAGGCGGUUUGUUAAGUCAGAUGUGAAAUCCCCGGGCUCAACCUGGGAACUGCAUCUGAUACUGGCAAGCUUGAGUCUCGUAGAGGGGGGUAGAAUUCCAGGUGUAGCGGUGAAAUGCGUAGAGAUCUGGAGGAUACCGGUGGCGAAG